GUAAUGAAAUUCAUGGAGCAAGAUACCAGUCAUGCCCAUUUAAAAGCUGUGUUUUAUUAUUGCUGACCUGUUAUGUGUACUGGGAUUAGUGUCAAGGCUAAAGGCUUAGAAUUUAGUGCCAUGAACAUGUCUGACAACUUUUUUCUCUCUUACCUGCUUUCCUACUUUUAUUUUUUUUCUUCUUUUAUCAUUAUUAUUCUCAAAAGUAUUUGCUUAAAGCUAAAACACGUAGUAAUAGUCGUCUUAUAUUUGUACUAGCCAUGUUAUAGUUUUAAGUGGUGCCAUCUUGUCAAGUUUCAGCUAACUGUACGGAAGGCUAGACUAGGAUGUAAAGGGGGCAACAACUUUGCUAUUGGGAUCAGCAGAGUGAUCUUUCUAGAUCAGGGGAAAUAAAUGCUAUUACUGGUAUCCCAAGACAACCACUAACCCAAAUUAAAUGUAGAGAAUUCUUUUUUUUUUUCUGACCUCUAUUUAAAAUGUUGACCCAUUAUUAAAAAUGACAGUUUUUCAUAUACAUUAUAUCGAAUCAAGAGGUUUUCAUCUUAUUUCACUUUAUAAAUGUUACUAGAUACCAUAAAGAUAGUCAUUUUGUAUGUGUGUGUGUAUAUAUAUAUAUCUUUUCCCCUUGAAUGCUUGAUUGUAUUAGCUCUUAUUAGAACUUCUCUGGAUAUUUUAAGAUUGAGUUAAAUAUUUAUUUUCUACUCUUAACAUUUUUAACAGUAAAGGUAAUAAUUGCUAUCAUUGUUCCAUGGAUUGUGAUAAGUAUAUCAUUUUCCCUGUAACCAUCUGUCAAGAGAUGUUAUCCUCAUUUUAUGAGUGAAAACUGAAGCUUAGAUUAACAUGCUAGAAAUGAUACAUUGACUAUACAAAUGUUAACUGAUUGUCACUUCUACUGAAAGUACACUUGAGGUUAUCUUCUGUCAUUUAGUGAGUCAUUUGGUGAAUAUUUAUGGAACACUUUUGUGUGACUCCAACACUGUUCUAAUACUUGGGACAUAAUAAUAACAAAAAUCAGAGCAUGAUCCCUGACUUCAGAUGUGGUUCCUGUGGAGACCACUGUAAACAGCAUGUGUAUAGGCAAGGAAAUUAUAGCUUGUGAAGGCUCAUAUGGGUAAUAUGUGGAAGUACUAGAAAUUUAGACACAGGAAGUGUCUUUUGGACAAUGUUGGAAUUUGAAUAUUUUUUCAAGACAUUUUUGUAGUGAUAAAUUUAUGUCAUAUUUCAUAUCGUGACAUUUGUUUUAGGUGAUUUCUAAGCAGUGAGUAGGUGAUUUAAAAGCAGUACAAUUACUCUAUUUUUGGAAUCUGAUAGCAAAUGUUUAGGAAUUGCACUGACUUUUAGUGAUCUGGUUUAAAGAAAAACAAUACAUCAACCUUCAUGUGCUUAUAGCAUUAAUUGUCAGAAACUUUAUUCAGUAGGUUUUUGGUUUUGUUAAUGAGUAAGUUCAUGUUGGUUCAGUUUUUGUUCUUUUUGCAAACUACUGAAUUAUACCAGUGGAAUAGGUUUUUUGUAAUCCUUUUUAAAAUAUUUCCUUAAUACAAUGGCUGUGGUAGCUCACACUUUUAAUCCCAGCACUCAAAAGCAGAAGCAAAUGAAUUUCUGUAAAUUUCAGGCCAGCAAAGGCUACAUAGUAAGAAGAUUGCACCCCCCCC
RNAcentral lists this long non-coding RNA (1652 nucleotides) under Mus musculus (house mouse). RNAcentral describes it as "long non-coding RNA chr9:7186859-7188511". Lineage: Eukaryota; Metazoa; Chordata; Mammalia; Rodentia; Muridae. The record is from RNAcentral.